RNAcentral lists this ribosomal RNA (256 nucleotides) under uncultured bacterium. RNAcentral's name for it is "partial 16S ribosomal RNA". It matches the Rfam family "Bacterial small subunit ribosomal RNA", at positions 524 to 776 of the family's 1533-position model. The record is from RNAcentral.
UACGUAGGCAGCGAGCGUUGUUCGGAAUUACUGGGCGUAAAGAGUGUGUAGGCGGUGCUCUAAGUUCGGUGUGAAAUCUCCUGGCUCAACUGGGAGGGUGCGCCGGAAACUGGAGUGCUUGAGCGUGGGAGAGGAAAGCGGAAUUCCUGGUGUAGCGGUGAAAUGACGCAGAUAUCAGGAGGAACACCGGUGGCGAAGGCGGGACUCUGGGCCGAUACUGACGCUGGAGGAGCGGAAAGCCAGGGGAGCAAACAGG